CUACGGGGCGCUGCAGUAAGGAAUAUUGCGCAAUGGAGGCAACUCUGACGCAGCCAUGCCGCGUGCAGGAAGAAGGCCUUAUGGGUCGUAAACUGCUUUUAUUUAGGAAUAAACCCCCGAACGUGUUCGGGGCUGAAGGUACUAAACGAAUAAGCACCGGCUAACUCCGUGCCAGCAGCCGCGGUAAUACGGAGGGUGCAAGCGUUAUCCGGAUUUAUUGGGUUUAAAGGGUGCGCAGGCGGGCUAUUAAGUCAGUGGUGAAAUCCCGGGGCUCAACUCCGGAACUGCCAUUGAUACUGAUAGUCUUGAGUUUGAUUGAAGUGGGCGGAAUGUGGCAUGUAGCGGUGAAAUGCAUAGAUAUGCUACAGAACACCAAUCGCGAAGGCAGCUCACUAAGCCAAAACUGACGCUCAUGCACGAAAGCGUGGGGAUCAAACAGGAUUAGAUACCCUAGUAGUC
RNAcentral lists this ribosomal RNA (459 nucleotides) under uncultured bacterium. RNAcentral's name for it is "partial 16S ribosomal RNA". It matches the Rfam family "Bacterial small subunit ribosomal RNA", at positions 339 to 795 of the family's 1533-position model. The record is from RNAcentral.